RNAcentral lists this ribosomal RNA (634 nucleotides) under uncultured bacterium. RNAcentral's name for it is "bacterial SSU rRNA". It matches the Rfam family "Bacterial small subunit ribosomal RNA", at positions 28 to 659 of the family's 1533-position model. The record is from RNAcentral.
GAUGAACGCUAGCUGGAGGCUUAAUACAUGCAAGUCGAGCGGGAUUGUCCCAGCAAUGGGAUAUGAGAGCGGCGCACGGGUGAGUAACGCGUACACGACCUACCUCUAACAGGGGGCAUAGCCCUGGGAAACCGGGAUUAAUACCGCAUAUUAUUUGAUAAAUAAAGGUAUCAAAUGAAAGCUGAGGCGGUUAGAGAUGGGUGUGCGUCUGAUUAGCUAGUUGGUAGGGUAACGGCCUACCAAGGCGAUGAUCAGUAGGGGGCGUGAGAGCGUGGUCCCCCGCACGGGUACUGAGACACGGACCGACUCCUACGGGAGGCAGCAGUAAGGAAUAUUGGACAAUGGCCGCAAGGCUGAUCCAGCCAUCCAGCGUGCAGGAAGAAGGCCCCUAUGGGUUGUAAACUGCUUUUGUCAGGGAAUAAACUCCUGCAUUUAUGCGGGACUGAAGGUACCUGAAGAAUAAGCACCGCUAACUCCGUGCCAGCAGCCGCGGUAAUACGGAGGGUGCGAGCGUUAUCCGGAAUUACUGGGUUUAAAGGGUGCGUAGGCGGUACAGUAAGUCAGGAGUGAAAGUUUGCGGCUCAACCGUAAAAAUUGCUUUUUGAUACUGCUGUGCUGGAAUCAGGAUGAGGUC